Diabrotica virgifera virgifera (western corn rootworm) is the source of this 1538-nucleotide long non-coding RNA. RefSeq lists it as uncharacterized. The transcript has 3 exons. The record is from RefSeq and is a predicted model, not a curated record. NCBI's taxonomy places the organism in Eukaryota, Metazoa, Arthropoda, Insecta, Coleoptera, Chrysomelidae.
UAUCUGUAGAAAAGAAGAUUCUGUGUUCAUAAUCUUCGAAGGAAAUAAGUACUGAUGUUUGUAAUUCAAAAUUUUCGGAGGUAGGGUAAACAUAGACUUGGCGUCUGAAACUUAAUACAUGUGAAUAUUCGUCCCCAGGAAUGCCUGCUCCUAAAUAGGAUAAAGGAGAUGCGAUGCGAAGUCCAAGAUUUUUAAUGCUAUUUUCAACUAAGUCAUGUGGUAUGAACGGUGGAACGUUAGAUAUAAUUAUUCUUUUAGCAGGGGAAAUUAGUCUUCGGAUAUUUAAAGAAACAUUUCAUAUCUGUACUAAGGGAGGUGAAUCUAUAAGCUGGUCGACAAGGUUAGAGCUAGAAAGAUAGAUACAAAUACGAUUGUUUGAUAUCCUAGAUGCAAAAGAGACGUGCUUAGGACCUACCCUAACAACACACAACAUUUCAGGAAUGUACUACCAAAGUUCUAUCAAUAUUUGAAUGUCCUGGAUAUUUAGGGAACAUUCGGUGAACAUCUGUUUAAAUUAUUCCUGGAAUGUUACCAUAAGACAUUCUGUGAACAUACUACCAAUGUUCCUAUAUUUUAAGUUGCGAAAUAAUACAUACGUGUAACAGAUACAGCAUUACUUAUAACAUACCAGACAAACUAAGUGACAUUUUAGGCCUACAGUGCAAUAAUAUGUCAAAUUUAAAGAGUUUCCCAAGUUCAAUUAAUACAAUAUUAUAAACAUACAAAUGUAAUAAAAAUUAUUGUUCGCGAAUAUUCAAUUUUGAAUGUGAUUUUGUUAAUAAAAAAAAUACUUAUAACUUAUGCAAAACCCAAGAGAGGCAUUUAUAUUUAUUUCUUUUACAUUCAUUUUCAAAUUCGCCGUGCAUAUAUUUUUGUGCAUGGCGCUUGAGAGGGCAUCACGUGACUAAAAACGACCAACCAACGACCUCGCUUCGGCCAUCUUGGCAUCUUCAUCUUGGCCACCUUGCCUUGCCGUGGAUCGUUGUUUGUAUUAUUUGUGCUUUUUAAGAAUAUUUUUUUAAUUCGGGUACUUUUAUAAUAGCUUUAAUAGUAUUAUUAACAUAGUGCAUAAAAUGGUGUCCUGUUUUUAACGCAGUUGGAGUAGCAGAAACAAAUGUAGAUAAAAAAAUAGCAGGAAUAACGUUUCAAUUAUGACAGAAGCUCGAAACAAAUGACUGAAUGAAAAGCCCUAUUAAAAGCUUUCCAGAAGAUCCUGCGAAGAAGACAUGAAGUAUAGAUCAGAUUUGUUAAUAGAGGAGUAUGUUCAAAACACUUUUUAGAAAAAGAUAUUGACAGAACUUCACUUUCAUCUGUUCGUUUGAGAGACUGUGCUGUUCCAAUAGCUUAUGUCACACAGAAUCAGCUGAGAGAAGUGGUCUACAAAAAACCAGAAAGGAAACGGAAUAUGUGGCUACGAAAAGCAAAAGAAAGGUUUACAAAGCAAAUGUGACACAUUUUUUUAUAAUAUUUAAGAAUGUCAGUAAAUUACAUUAAAAAAUGUAUGUAAAGAUUUUUUGCAAUAAAAAUGUUUAUAUUUA